UCCCUGGAGGACUAGUGGUUAGGCCUCGGUGCUCUCAUUGCCCCGGCCCGGGUUCGAUUCCCGGCCAGGGAA
RNAcentral lists this transfer RNA (72 nucleotides) under Pangasius djambal. RNAcentral describes it as "tRNA-Glu". It matches the Rfam family "tRNA". Rfam says of the family: Transfer RNA (tRNA) molecules are approximately 80 nucleotides in length. Their secondary structure includes four short double-helical elements and three loops (D, anti-codon, and T loops). Further hydrogen bonds mediate the characteristic L-shaped molecular structure. tRNAs have two regions of fundamental functional importance: the anti-codon, which is responsible for specific mRNA codon recognition, and the 3' end, to which the tRNAs corresponding amino acid is attached (by aminoacyl-tRNA synthetases). tRNAs cope with the degeneracy of the genetic code in two manners: having more than one tRNA (with a specific anti-codon) for a particular amino acid; and 'wobble' base-pairing, i.e. permitting non-standard base-pairing at the 3rd anti-codon position. Lineage: Eukaryota; Metazoa; Chordata; Actinopteri; Siluriformes; Pangasiidae. The record is from RNAcentral.